GACCAUAAUACCCAAUCAAAUCUAUUCCUUUCACCCGUCCCAACAAAUAAUCAUUUCCCUUUCCCCAAUGAUUCUAGAACUUAGAGAGGAAACUAAUCUGAAACCCUAUUUUCACCAAAGUUCAUCCUUAUCCCCUUGUCUCAUACACUUUAACUCUUGCCUCAGUCCUGUUCCUUUUCCCAUUUCACUUCUAAUGCUCGCUUUGCAUAUGCAAGAACUCUGCCCACUAGAUAAAUCGAUUCACUUCUCUUUAACGUUUCUAUUGCAAUGGUAUGUGAUAAUCCAUUCGCCGCUUAUAUGGUAUAUUUGAAACUGAUACUCCGAAAACUGCCUUUUAACUACUUUAUAUUGUGAAUGUAUACCCCUAUAACCAAUUUAUCUCGAUAUUUUGACUUACAUUUCUUCAUUGUAGUUAAUGAAUUCCCUUCCAAUAUAACCUCUUCCCAACCUAUCUCUAUGCCCAUUUCCAACGCCCGAUGGCAUGCAAUGGCUUUGGCGAUGAAAGCAGACAAUACUCUACUAUGGGUCUUUGAGCGAGAUAAUAGAACUUGCCCCUUAGCAUUCCUUGCGACAACUCCUGAGGCCGACCGAAAGUUUCGACCGUUUUAAGCUCCAUCAAAGUUAAUCUUCACGGUAGAUCCAGAAGGUUAUGCAUGAAACACGUGGUAUACUGUUUCGGCCUCUACACCACACCGGGGACAGCAUACUUAUUAAUGAGCUUCUUAUGUUUCAUGUUAACAAAAGUAGGUAGAUAUUCCAAGAGAUCCUCCAUAUUGUAAUCUUAAUUUUCCCUGGAAGGUUUAGGCCCCAUAGCUAUUUAUAAAAUUCCUUAGUACUGGUCUGUAAAGCAUAAACAGUAGGAACCAUGGGAAAGUUCUAUAAUAGUUUAUAAGUGCUAUAUACCGAAAACUCCCCAGAUGGCUCACCACUCCACACCAUCAGAUCAUCAUGUGCCUCAUGUGCCAGCAAAAUUUGAAGGAUUCUAAAAGUGUCCACCAUCACAAAGGUUGAAAUUGGGUUGUUCUUAAGGAGGUGCCGAAUGUGGUCAUUGAAGGGCCUUGAGGAACAAUAUGUGUGGCUUGGGUUAUAACAUUCGGCCAUGGUAGAAAAUGGAAGAGAUAAAUGGUUGUUAAUUGUGAUAGUUUAAGGAAAUUGUAAGUAGUUUGAAUAAAUGAACAAUAAUAAUAAAUCAUCUAGUGAAUUGGUGUAGUUGCCGAAUUUGAACUAGGAAGUUAUUGAGUAAUGUGUGUAUUUUAAGUGAUAGAAUAGAGUGAAUGCUUGGAAUGUGAUAUGUAUGAAUUAUAAGUUGGAUUAAAAGCUGUUAUAUUGCCUUAUCAUUUUCGGAAA
This is a long non-coding RNA of Gossypium arboreum, 1347 nucleotides long. RefSeq lists it as uncharacterized. The record is from RefSeq and is a predicted model, not a curated record. The transcript is spliced from 3 exons. Lineage: Eukaryota; Viridiplantae; Streptophyta; Magnoliopsida; Malvales; Malvaceae.